This is a long non-coding RNA of Notolabrus celidotus (New Zealand spotty), 1902 nucleotides long. RefSeq lists it as uncharacterized. NCBI's taxonomy places the organism in Eukaryota, Metazoa, Chordata, Actinopteri, Labriformes, Labridae. The transcript is spliced from 3 exons. The record is from RefSeq and is a predicted model, not a curated record.
UCUGAUGUUGCUGGUCUGCAAACAUAGAGCACUAGCAAUUCCCAACGGUCUGUUGGCUUUGAAUCCAAAGGUGGGGGAAAGGCCUGUUUAAAGUAGUCAACCUUCGUUGUAGGCAGCAGGAUUCUCAUCUGUCUUAACCACUAUCAUACUGCUGUUUCACAUGCCCCUUCAGUUCCCUUCACUGCCCAACAUCAGCUAUCCAAUCCCCAUCCAUCUGGUCUCAGCACAGUCAUCAGCCACCACCGGCACCCAUGUGCGGACUCCACUGGGGGAUUUUUUACAACUGCUGCCCAGAGCAGACAUCUGUUGAUCACACCAAAUGUCCCUGCAGAGUCCAAGUGCAAAAGUGAUCUGAGGCUGCGCUGCUGUGCUACUGGGAUGCAGCUUGAUGGACGCUGAGAGGUGCUUGGCUGUGGCCUACUGUAGUGGCUGAUCUGUCUGGGAUCAAUAGCAGCUAAUUACAGCCCACAUUGAUUCAGAAGGCUCGCUAAUUUAGAGCCCAGCCCGGGUCCUCUCCAUGCAGAGCCAGUGAAGCAGCUCCAAUCCCAACCCCUCUGGCCCUGCAAACAUCUCACUCAGCAGCUCAUUAUCUCCCAGGAACAACUCUUAGGAUCAGUUUCAGUGCUGAGAGAAUAGAUACCUUUAUGGGACAUUAUAGAUCCUCUGAUGUGAUCUGCUUUAUCUUCUGCUUUAUCUACCCUUUCAACUGCUGCUGACCAAAGGCUCUAAAUGGGGGGAGCAAACAAGGGCAUUUUAACAUCCAGAGCUAGCAUUAUUAGCAAGCUCUUUAUUCAUCACUAAAACUCUAUCUCUGGCAGAAAAGACACAAGAUGUGUGCUUUUUCUUAAAUGAAACCAGUGGAAGUUACCUGAAGCCUAGCCUACACUUUUUAACAUUUUAACAGAUGUAGAAGUUUUAAGAGACCUCACACAUGAUGACGAACAAUGACAGAUUUACAGUUUUAUUUGUACUGCGAGAGGAGGGAAACGAUACAGCACACAUCAGACCAACCAGUGUCCAUAACUGGAAAUCUUGCAAAAACCUCCUGCAGUCAAACAUGACUUUAAAGUGAACAAACAUGGGGGACAAUGGGAUGGUUGUCAAGGUGAAUGGCCCUCGCUGCUUAGCUACUUGGUACAUCCAUUGUAGUAAUGAUUUCCUCUCCUUGUCAGUUUGUUGCAUGUUUUAUGGGACAUGUUGUAUAAACAUUUGUUUUGUUACCACAGAUCACCAAGCUGGUUCUCCAUUUAUGACAUCCAUCUAACUUUAUGCUUCUGGUUUAUUAUUGUCUUCAAGGCUGUCUUUGUUGUGCUUCCUUCUUCAGUUAGUUUGCUUCCUGAAUGGCAAUGGUUUCCUUCCACAUGACAAUCAACAGAGAGUGUGCUUGGCUGUACUCAGAAUUCACUUCACAAACAGGAUGGUUGUUAUUGAAAAUAGUAACCAUCUAGAAGGUUUAAUAUUUAAUUUAUCGGUAAUCAUCCACAAUCUUAUUCAAGCGGAUUGAGAGAAAUAAAAUCAAUCUUAGCAAGAUGAAAGAAUCAUGGUCUUGCUGUCUUUAGUCAGAAGGAUGAAUCAAAAUAGGCCUGAUUAUCUUGUGGUGUGCCCUGCCUUUGUGUUCUUUGGGCUCAUUUGAGCAAACUUUAACUUCUUCACAGAGUUUGCAGAAAAAGCUAAAGUUCAUUGCAAAAGCUAUCAAACAAAGAUAAAGGAGAACUGGUCCCAUGGCUUCCUAGCUCCCCUCUCUUUCUUCCUGUAAUUUUCAUAAUGUUUUUGUUUGCUUUAGCUGUUGCUCUUAAUUUUCUUGUUCUCUUUUUAAUCAUUGGUCUAAUUUUUCUAUUUUGAUUCAGUUUUUGUAUUGCAUGUGUAUCCAUAUCUAAGAUAAAUGUCUAAGGAAAUACAAUU